This 521-nucleotide ribosomal RNA is filed under the name Eledone moschata (musky octopus). Its description in RNAcentral is "partial 16S ribosomal RNA". It matches the Rfam family "Bacterial large subunit ribosomal RNA", at positions 1832 to 2593 of the family's 2925-position model. Lineage: Eukaryota; Metazoa; Mollusca; Cephalopoda; Octopoda; Eledonidae. The record is from RNAcentral.
UUUAAUACUAAUAAGGAGUUGGGCCUGCUCGGUGAUUAAAUUAAACAGCUGCGGUAUUAUAACUGUACUAAGGUAGCAUAAUAAUUUGCCUUAUAAAUUGAGGCUAGAAUGAAUGGUUUGACGAAAAUUAAUCUGUCUCUAUUUUAAUUAUUAGAAAUUGAUAUUUAAAGUGAUAAAGCUUAAAUUAUUUAAAGGGACGAGAAGACCCUAUUGAGCUUAAUGUUAAAUUAUAAAUAAUUUAAUGAUCUUAUUAUGUUUUACAUUAUUUAUAAAAUUUAAAUUUUGAUUGGGGUGAUCAAGGAAUAAAAGUAGUGUAGUGUUUAUAACUUCCUUAUAGGAUUUAUGAGUUAUUAAUGGUAUAAUAAACCAAAUAUUUUGCUUAUAAGUAAGUUACCAUAGGGAUAACAGCGUAAUUUUUUUAGAGAGUUCAUAUUAAAAAAGAAGAUUGCGACCUCGAUGUUGGAUUAAAAUUACCUUUUGGUGUAGAGGCUUUAAUAGGUAAAUCUGUUCGAUUUUUAAAA